UCGAGCGUCAUUUCACCAAUCCAGCCUCGCUGGGCAUUGGGCGCUGCGGUCCGCCGCACGCCCCAAUUUCGCCGGCUGAGCUAUCUAUCUCUAAGCGUUGUGGCAACUCAACCCGCUUGCGAGUAUGGAUGGUCUCGGGCCGCUAAACACCCCAACUACAGGUUGACCUCGGAUCAGGUAGGGAUACCCGCUGAACUUAA
Molecule: unclassified non-coding RNA, 200 nt
Filed under: soil metagenome
Description: partial contains internal transcribed spacer 2 and large subunit ribosomal RNA
Source: RNAcentral